Molecule: ribosomal RNA, 498 nt
Filed under: uncultured bacterium
Lineage: Bacteria
Description: partial 16S ribosomal RNA
Rfam family: Bacterial small subunit ribosomal RNA
Source: RNAcentral
GAUGAACGCUGGCGGCGUGCCUAAUACAUGCAAGUCGAGCGAACAGACGAGGAGCUUGCUCCUCUGACGUUAGCGGCGGACGGGUGAGUAACACGUGGAUAUCCUACCUAUAAGACUGGGAUAACUUCGGGAAACCGGAGCUAAUACCGGAUAAUAUAUUGAACCGCAUGGUUCAAUAGUGAAAGACGGUUUUGCUGUCACUUAUAGAUGGAUCCGCGCCGCAUUAGCUAGUUGGUAAGGUAACGGCUUACCAAGGCAACGAUGCGUAGCCGACCUGAGAGGGUGAUCGGCCACACUGGAACUGAGACACGGUCCAGACUCCUACGGGAGGCAGCAGUAGGGAAUCUUCCGCAAUGGGCGAAAGCUUGACGGAGCAACGCCGCGUGAGUGAUGAAGGUCUUCGGAUCGUAAAACUCUGUUAUUAGGGAAGAACAAAUGUGUAAGUAACUAGGCACGUCUUGACGGUACCUAAUCAGAAAGCCACGGCUAACUACGUGC